RNAcentral lists this ribosomal RNA (490 nucleotides) under uncultured bacterium. Its description in RNAcentral is "partial 16S ribosomal RNA". It matches the Rfam family "Bacterial small subunit ribosomal RNA", at positions 29 to 507 of the family's 1533-position model. The record is from RNAcentral.
AGUGAACGCUGGCGGUAGGCCUAACACAUGCAAGUCGAACGGCAGCACAGGAGAGCUUGCUCUCUGGGUGGCGAGUGGCGGACGGGUGAGGAAUACAUCGGAAUCUGCCCAGUCGUGGGGGAUAACGUAGGGAAACUUACGCUAAUACCGCAUACGACCUUCGGGUGAAAGAGGGGGAUCGCAAGACCUCUCGCGAUUGGAUGAGCCGAUGUCGGAUUAGCUAGUUGGCGGGGUAAUGGCCCACCAAGGCGACGAUCCGUAGCUGGUCUGAGAGGAUGAUCAGCCACACUGGAACUGAGACACGGUCCAGACUCCUACGGGAGGCAGCAGUGGGGAAUAUUGGACAAUGGGCGCAAGCCUGAUCCAGCCAUACCGCGUGGGUGAAGAAGGCCUUCGGGUUGUAAAGCCCUUUUGCUGGGAAAGAAAUCUUUCAGGCUAAUACCCUGGGAGGAUGACGGUACCCAAAGAAUAAGCACCGGCUAACUUCGUG